This 253-nucleotide ribosomal RNA is filed under the name uncultured bacterium. RNAcentral describes it as "partial 16S ribosomal RNA". It matches the Rfam family "Bacterial small subunit ribosomal RNA", at positions 524 to 776 of the family's 1533-position model. The record is from RNAcentral.
UACGAAGGGGGCUAGCGUUGCUCGGAAUUACUGGGCGUAAAGCGCACGUAGGCGGGUCCUUAAGUCAGGGGUGAAAUCCUGGAGCUCAACUCCAGAACUGCCUUUGAUACUGAGGAUCUCGAGUUCGGGAGAGGUGAGUGAAACUGCGAGUGUAGAGGUGAAAUUCGUAGAUAUUCGCAAGAACACCAGUGGCGAAGGCGGCUCACUGGCCCGAUACUGACGCUGAGGUGCGAAAGCGUGGGGAGCAAACAGG